GAUGAACGCUGGCGGCGUGCCUAAUACAUGCGAGUCGAGCGAACAGACGAGGAGCUUGCUCCUCUGACGUUAGCGGCGGACGGGUGAGUAACACGUGGAUAACCUACCUAUAAGACUGGGAUAACUUCGGGAAACCGGAGCUAAUACCGGAUAAUAUAUUGAACCGCAUGGUUCAAUAGUGAAAGACGGUUUUGCUGUCACUUAUAGAUGGAUCCGCGCCGCAUUAGCCAGUUGGUAAGGUAACGGCUUACCAAGGCAACGAUGCGUAGCCGACCUGAGAGGGUGAUCGGCCACACUGGAACUGAGACACGGUCCAGACUCCUACGGGAGGCAGCAGUAGGGAAUCUUCCGCAAUGGGCGAAAGCCUGACGGAGCAACGCCGCGUGAGUGAUGAAGGUCUUCGGAUCGUAAAACUCUGUUAUUAGGGAAGAACAAAUGUGUAAGUAACUAUGCACGUCUUGACGGUACCUAAUCAGAAAGCCACGGCUAACUACGUG
This 497-nucleotide ribosomal RNA is filed under the name uncultured bacterium. RNAcentral describes it as "partial 16S ribosomal RNA". It matches the Rfam family "Bacterial small subunit ribosomal RNA", at positions 28 to 507 of the family's 1533-position model. The record is from RNAcentral.